This 239-nucleotide ribosomal RNA is filed under the name uncultured bacterium. RNAcentral describes it as "partial 16S ribosomal RNA". It matches the Rfam family "Bacterial small subunit ribosomal RNA", at positions 524 to 760 of the family's 1533-position model. The record is from RNAcentral.
UACGUAGGUGGCAAGCGUUGUCCGGAUUUACUGGGCGUAAAGAGCGCGCAGGCGGUCGUACAAGUCGCGUGUGAAAGCCCCCGGCUCAACUGGGGAGGGUCACGCGAUACUGUUCGACUCGAAGGCAGGAGAGGGAAGCAGAAUUCCCGGUGUAGUGGUGAAAUGCGUAGAUAUUAGGAAGAACACCAGUGGCGAAGGCGGGCUCACUGGUCCGGUACUGACGCUGAGGUGGCGAAAGC